UAGGGAAUCUUCCACAAUGGACGCAAGUCUGAUGGAGCAACGCCGCGUGAGUGAAGAAGGCUUUCGGGUCGUAAAACUCUGUUAUUGAAGAAGAACGUGUGUGACAGUAACUGGUCAUGCAGUGACGGUAUUCAAUCAGAAAGUCACGGCUAACUACGUGCCAGCAGCCGCGGUAAUACGUAGGUGGCAAGCGUUGUCCGGAUUUAUUGGGCGUAAAGCGAGUGCAGGCGGUCUUUUAAGUCUGAUGUGAAAGCCUUCGGCUUAACCGAAGAAGGGCAUCGGAAACUGGGAGACUUGAGUGCAGAAGAGGAGAGUGGAACUCCAUGUGUAGCGGUGAAAUGCGUAGAUAUAUGGAAGAACACCAGUGGCGAAGGCGGCUCUCUGGUCUGUAACUGACGCUGAGGCUCGAAAGCGUGGGUAGCAAACAGGAUUAGAUACCCUGGUAGUCCACGCCGUAAACGAU
Molecule: ribosomal RNA, 463 nt
Filed under: uncultured bacterium
Lineage: Bacteria
Description: partial 16S ribosomal RNA
Rfam family: Bacterial small subunit ribosomal RNA
Source: RNAcentral